CUGUGCUCUGCCAGACAGCAACUCAGUUGUCUUCUUACGGCCAGUGGCGCCCCUGAUGAGAACAGCAAAGUGUGUUUCUUCUAGUCCGUGUUCUAUUCCAAGUGGUUUGUUUCUGCUUAAUUUGUGCUUCCUUACAAGUGAAUGAGAGCUUAAUUCUGCAGAGAAAAGAAGGGCCUGACAAACAGUGACUGCUGAGGGGCAGUCAAGUCUCCCCCUGCUACUGUGUUCAUUGAAAAAUACAUCACAUGGAAAACACACCGAGGUCUGCUGGCCUGGCUUUAUGAAGUAGCUGUGUGCAGUGAAUGUUCCUGGCUGUGGCUGCGGUGAAGUUCAUCAAAGUGAAGAUCAGCAUCUGCCAUGUACUUUUGCCAUACUGAUUCUACACAAGCAUAUAGCCAAGCGAAUAUGAGCUCAGCCUUCUAAAACUAGGCCUGGAGUCAAUAGUGGUGAAGAUGACAUAACAACAGACAGUCACAGAGCCUUGGCGGCCGAAGCAGGAAGCUGAGCGCUCACAUCUCAACCAUCCACAGGAAGCGACGAAAAUGCCAGCAGAUCAGGAUGCUCUCAACCACUUCUCCCAUGCAAUGUGUGCUGCAAUGCUCCCCACCAUGAUGC
This is a long non-coding RNA of Microtus ochrogaster (prairie vole), 615 nucleotides long. RefSeq lists it as uncharacterized. Lineage: Eukaryota; Metazoa; Chordata; Mammalia; Rodentia; Cricetidae. The record is from RefSeq and is a predicted model, not a curated record. The transcript has 4 exons.